UUAAUGAGAGAUGCUUUUGUUUUCCUCCUUUGAGGUGUCUGUGAAAUACCCCCGGCUCAUCUAUAAACCAGAGAUAUUCUUUGCCUUUGGAUCUCCCAUUGGAAUGUUCCUUACUGUCCGAGGACUAAAAAGAAUUGAUCCCAACUACAGAUUUCCAACGUGCAAAGGUUUCUUCAAUAUUUAUCACCCUUUUGAUCCUGUGGCCUAUAGGAUUGAACCAAUGGUGGUCCCAGGAGUGGAAUUUGAGCCAAUGCUGAUCCCACAUC
RNAcentral lists this small RNA (266 nucleotides) under Pan troglodytes (chimpanzee). RNAcentral's name for it is "retained intron". The record is from RNAcentral. Lineage: Eukaryota; Metazoa; Chordata; Mammalia; Primates; Hominidae.